CCACAAGAUCAAUUUCAAUAGCAGGAUAAAAAGCCACCAUUGGAAUAGAUGUUUGAGAAGUUCAUGGCAAUGACUAAUCAGUACAUGGAGGCCAACAACCAGUUUAUGCGAAAGAUAGAUGCAACUCUCCAAGACCAAAGUGCUGCAAUCAAAAAUUUGGAGACGCAAAUGGAAUAGAUGGUAAUCUCCAUGACAGGUAGAGCACCAAGAAACCUACCCAGCAACACUGAAAUCAAUCCUAAGGAGCACGUAAAAGCUGUAACAACCAGAAGUGGAGUACAACUACCGGAGAUACAUGUAAAAAGACCGAUAGCUAGCAAGGAAUCAGCGCCUACCUCAGAUGACGAGAUUGUGGAACAGACUAAACAAACAACAGGGGAUGUUGCCAAGAAGAGUUUCAAUACAUCACGGGUUACAGCUACCAACUCUAUCAACCCUCAUAAGCCACCUAUUCUAUUCCCGCAGAGGUUGAAAAAGCACAAAUUGGAUCAACAAUAUAGUAAAUUUCUUGAAGUCUUCAAGAAACUCAACAUCAACUUCCCAUUUGCUGAGGCACUUGUUUAGAUGCCGAGUUAUGCAAAAUUCCUAAAGGAUAUCCUCUCUAACAAGCGAAAGAUAGAAGAAAAUGAAACAGUGAUGCUAACGGAGGAAUGCUGUGCCAGAAUCCAGAAAAAGCUGCCUCCAAAACUAAAGGAUCCAGGGAGCUUUACUGUACCUUGCACUAUUGAAAAUUGUCAUUUUGAUAAUACUUUGUGUGAUUUAGGUGCAAGUAUUAAUUUGAUGCCUCCCUCUGUUUUCAGGAAACUCGGCUUGGGAGAAGCUAAAGCCACAACAGUAACCCUACAGUUAGUAGAUCGAUCCCUUACACAUCUAAGAAGGAUCAUUAAAGACGUGUUGGUAAAAGUAGAAAAGUUUAUAUUUUCAGCCGAUUUUCUCACUUUAGAUAUGGAGGAAGAUAAGGAUGUUCCACUCAUAUUGGGGUGACCCUUCUUAGCUACUAGAAGAGGGAUUGUCGAUGUUCAGAAAUGGCAUCUUAUAUUGAGGCUUGGCGAAGAACAGAUCUCUUUCAACUGUUCAAGGCAAUAAGAUUUUCCACUGAGUCAGAUAGCUGUUUCUAGAUCGAGGUAAUUGAUAGAAUAAUUCAAGAUACAUUUCGGCUACAUCAUCCUUCCGAUGCAUACGAGGCAUGCAUUGCACAUUUUCAGUCCACUCACACUGAUUCAAGUGAGA
This 1230-nucleotide long non-coding RNA is filed under the name Olea europaea subsp. europaea. Lineage: Eukaryota; Viridiplantae; Streptophyta; Magnoliopsida; Lamiales; Oleaceae. The record is from RNAcentral.